RNAcentral lists this unclassified non-coding RNA (237 nucleotides) under Glomus sp. RNAcentral describes it as "partial contains 5.8S ribosomal RNA and internal transcribed spacer 2". The stretch from base 1 to 71 matches the Rfam family "5.8S ribosomal RNA", at positions 84 to 154 of the family's 154-position model. Lineage: Eukaryota; Fungi; Glomeromycota; Glomeromycetes; Glomerales; Glomeraceae. The record is from RNAcentral.
GUGAAUCAUCAAAUCUUUGAACGCAAAUUGCACUCUCUGGUAUUCCGGAGAGUAUGCCUGUUUGAGGGUCAGUUUAAAUAAAAAUCGGCGUGUUUGCUGCCUUUCGUGGUUACGCACCGGAUUUGGGUCGUCUUGCCUUCGGUUAAGUGACCUAACAUUUUGCAUGUUUUUUUCGAACGUAUUUAAAUGAUUUUACGUGCUUUUGCGAUAUCGAAUGUUAGCUGUGGUUAUCUUCAU